This 119-nucleotide ribosomal RNA is filed under the name Pteropus alecto (black flying fox). The record is from RNAcentral. Lineage: Eukaryota; Metazoa; Chordata; Mammalia; Chiroptera; Pteropodidae.
GUCUACGGCCAUGCCACCCUGAACAUGCCCAACCCCAUCUGAUCUCAGAAGCUAAGCAGGGUCGAGCCUGCUUAGUACUUGGAUGGGAGACCACCUAGGAAGACCAGGUGCUGUAGGCA